Long non-coding RNA from Perognathus longimembris pacificus (Pacific pocket mouse), 160 nucleotides. RefSeq lists it as uncharacterized. The record is from RefSeq and is a predicted model, not a curated record. NCBI's taxonomy places the organism in Eukaryota, Metazoa, Chordata, Mammalia, Rodentia, Heteromyidae. The transcript is spliced from 2 exons.
UGUAAGCCCCAGGACUGGCAAAAAAAAAAAAAAAAAAAAAAAGAAAACUAAAGUGGACUAGAGGUAUGGCUCAAGCUUCACUUGUUAGUUAGCAAAAAAACCUAGCAGAGCACGUAAGGUCCUGGGUUCAAUCCCAGGUACCAGAAGCAAAAUAAAUAAA